Molecule: ribosomal RNA, 496 nt
Filed under: uncultured bacterium
Lineage: Bacteria
Description: partial 16S ribosomal RNA
Rfam family: Bacterial small subunit ribosomal RNA
Source: RNAcentral
AUGCACGCUGGCGGCGUGCCUAAUACAUGCAAGUCGCGCGAACAGACGAGGAGCUUGCUCCUCUGACGUUAGCGGCGGACGGGUGAGUAACACGUGGAUAACCUACCUAUAAGACUGGGAUAACUUCGGGAAACCGGAGCUAAUACCGGAUAAUAUAUUGAACCGCAUGGUUCAAUAGUGAAAGACGGUUUUGCUGUCACUUAUAGAUGGAUCCGCGCCGCAUUAGCUAGUUGGUAAGGUAACGGCUUACCAAGGCGACGAUGCGUAGCCGACCUGAAAGGGUGAUCGGCCACACUGGAACUGAGACACGGUCCAGACUCCUACGGGAGGCAGCAGUAGGGAAUCUUCCGCAAUGGGCGAAAGCCUGACGGAGCAACGCCGCGUGAGCGAUGAAGGUCUUCGGAUCGUAAAACUCUGUUAUUAGGGAAGAACAAAUGUGUAAGUAACUAUGCACGUCUUGACGGUACCUAAUCAGAAAGCCACGGCUAACUACGUG